ACCACAACGGGUGGAGCCUGCGGUUAAUUGGACUCAACGCCGGGCAGCUCACCGGAUAAGACAGCUGGAUGAUAGCCGGGCUGAAGACUCUGCUUGACUAGCUGAGAGGAGGUGCAUGGCCGUCGUCAGUUCGUACUGUGAAGCAUCCUGUUAAGUCAGGCAACGAGCGAGACCCACGCCAACAGUUGCCAGCAUGUCCUCCGGGAUGAUGGGGACACUGUUGGGACCGCCUCUGCUAAAGAGGAGGAAGGAAUGGGCAACGGUAGGUCAGCAUGCCCCGAAUUAUCCGGGCUACACGCGGGCUACAAUGGUCAGGACAAUGGGUAUCGACACCGAGAGGUGGAGGCAAUCUCCUAAACCUGUCCUUAGUUCGGAUUGUGGGCUGCAACUCGCCCACAUGAAGCUGGAAUCCGUAGUAAUCGCGUUUCAAAAUAGCACGGUGAAUAUGUCCCUGCUCCUU
This 460-nucleotide ribosomal RNA is filed under the name uncultured Methanolinea sp. RNAcentral describes it as "bacterial SSU rRNA". It matches the Rfam family "Archaeal small subunit ribosomal RNA", at positions 878 to 1338 of the family's 1478-position model. Lineage: Archaea; Methanobacteriati; Methanobacteriota; Methanomicrobia; Methanomicrobiales; Methanoregulaceae. The record is from RNAcentral.